CCUACGGGUGGCAGCAGUGAGGAAUAUUGGUCAAUGGGCGGAAGCCUGAACCAGCCAAGUAGCGUGCGGGAUGAAGGCCCUACGGGUCGUAAACCGCUUUUGCACGGGGAUAACACCCUCCACUUGUGGAUGUCUGCAGGUACCUUGCGAAUAAGGGCCGGCUAAUUCCGUGCCAGCAGCCGCGGUAAUACGGAAGGCCCGAGCGUUAUCCGGAUUCAUUGGGCUUAAAGGGAGCGUAGGCGGGCGUUCAAGUCAGCUGUAAAAUUGCGCGGCUCAACCGCGCCCCGCAGUUGAAACUGGCCGCCUUGAGUUCACAUCAGGCAGGCGGAAUUCGUGGUGUAGCGGUGAAAUGCAUAGAUAUCACGAGGAACCCCGAUUGCGAAGGCAGCCUGCCGGGGUGCGACUGACGCUGAGGCUCGAAGGUGCGGGUAUCAAACAGGAUUAGAUACCCGGGUAGUC
This 459-nucleotide ribosomal RNA is filed under the name uncultured bacterium. RNAcentral's name for it is "partial 16S ribosomal RNA". It matches the Rfam family "Bacterial small subunit ribosomal RNA", at positions 338 to 795 of the family's 1533-position model. The record is from RNAcentral.